Molecule: long non-coding RNA, 219 nt
Filed under: Elaeis guineensis (African oil palm)
Lineage: Eukaryota; Viridiplantae; Streptophyta; Magnoliopsida; Arecales; Arecaceae
Description: long non-coding RNA (EGUI_LNC000572)
Source: RNAcentral
GGGAAAUAGAUUCCAUAGACAUGACUAAAGAAUUGCAAAUGGCUAAGGCGGUGGUGGAUCACGAUGCCAUGUCCUUUUCCAUUUAAUGGUCCUGUACAUUGGAUAGCAUGCUGCACUCUUAAGUAUGCUUGUUGGAAAGAAAAAUUCUGCCUGUCUUGACAAAGGCAAUGACCUCAAGAUAGCAAAUUGGUUAUCAGUGGGUCCUUAAAAAAUCAUUUG